AGCUUAUAUCACAGUCCUUAGUGACCUUAAACCUAAACUCUGAUACCACUUACAUCACCAUCCUUAGUGGUCAUAAUCUAAGCUUUAAUAUCCUUCUGCCAUACUCCAUUGAUUAUAAUCCAAAGUUUUAAUAUAGCUUAUAUCACAGUCCCUAGUGACCUUAAAUCUAAGCUCUGAUACCACUUUAUCAUGCUCCAAAUCCGGCA
RNAcentral lists this long non-coding RNA (206 nucleotides) under Elaeis guineensis (African oil palm). RNAcentral's name for it is "long non-coding RNA (EGUI_LNC054231)". The record is from RNAcentral. Lineage: Eukaryota; Viridiplantae; Streptophyta; Magnoliopsida; Arecales; Arecaceae.